CGGGGCCUACGGGAGGCAGCAGUGAGGAAUAUUGGUCAAUGGACGGAAGUCUGAACCAGCCAUGCCGCGUGCAGGAAGACGGCUCUAUGGAUUGUAAACCUCUUUUGUCGGGGAGCAAAAGACGCCACGCGUGGCGUUCCGAGAGUACCCGAAGAAAAAGCAUCGGCUAACUCCGUGCCAGCAGCCGCGGUAAUACGGAGGAUGCGAGCGUUAUCCGGAUUUAUUGGGUUUAAAGGGUGCGCAGGCGGAAGAUCAAGUCAGCGGUAAAAUUGAGAGGCUCAACCUCUUCGAGCCGUUGAAACUGG
Molecule: ribosomal RNA, 305 nt
Filed under: uncultured bacterium
Lineage: Bacteria
Description: bacterial SSU rRNA
Rfam family: Bacterial small subunit ribosomal RNA
Source: RNAcentral